GCAGAUAUAAUCCUAAUUGGCAAGGAAGCUGUUUGCUAAACAGUCAGUAGCCGGAAACGGCGUUCGGGUUCAAAUCCCGAUAUCUGCG
RNAcentral lists this transfer RNA (88 nucleotides) under Candidatus Acetatifactor stercoripullorum. RNAcentral describes it as "tRNA-Ser". It matches the Rfam family "tRNA". Rfam says of the family: Transfer RNA (tRNA) molecules are approximately 80 nucleotides in length. Their secondary structure includes four short double-helical elements and three loops (D, anti-codon, and T loops). The record is from RNAcentral. Lineage: Bacteria; Bacillati; Bacillota; Clostridia; Lachnospirales; Lachnospiraceae.